AGCGGGAGGAAGGGAGGGGGCGCCCUCGGCCCCCGUCGCGCGGCUGCGGGCUAGACUCGCCUUCCCAACAGAGAAAAGGCGCUGGUGCCAAGGGGCGCGGAGCGGCUGGCGCUGCCAGGAGUGAGAGAAAGGGAGAGGUCACCAGCUCGCGCCUAUCAUCUCUCCCUCCAACUCAAAAGCGCUAGGAGGGACGUGAUUGCGCCUCCCAGGCUUUAAGCACCCCAAGAACCGACUGCCCUUAGAAUAAAGGGAAUGAGGACAGCAUGGUCAGAAGUCUGAACAGAAUAUGAACAAAGCAGUGAAGCCUCAGAAACAAUAUGGGUGAAGAAUCAGCCAGAGAACUUCUUAACAAUAACAAACUCAGUUUACAAGAUACAACUGUGGGAUUGGAGCCGCCAUAUUGCAAGGAGGUCAAAUCAUCAUAUAAAUGAGAACCAAUCAGAGAUAA
RNAcentral lists this long non-coding RNA (448 nucleotides) under Sus scrofa (pig). RNAcentral's name for it is "lncRNA (ENSSSCG00070022950.1)". The record is from RNAcentral. Lineage: Eukaryota; Metazoa; Chordata; Mammalia; Artiodactyla; Suidae.